GACAGAGGGUGCAAACGUUGUUCGGAAUUACUGGGCGUAAAGCGUGCGCAGGCGGUUCGCCAAGUCAGGUGUGAAAUCCCCGGGCUUAACCUGGGAAUUGCGCUUGAAACUAGCGGGCUUGAGUGUGGCAGAGGGGGGUGGAAUUCCACGUGUAGCAGUGAAAUGCGUAGAGAUGUGGAGGAACACCGAUGGCGAAGGCAGCCCCCUGGGUCAACACUGACGCUCAUGCACGAAAGCGUGGGGAGCAAACAGG
RNAcentral lists this ribosomal RNA (253 nucleotides) under uncultured bacterium. RNAcentral describes it as "partial 16S ribosomal RNA". It matches the Rfam family "Bacterial small subunit ribosomal RNA", at positions 524 to 776 of the family's 1533-position model. The record is from RNAcentral.